Arachis ipaensis is the source of this 712-nucleotide RNA transcript. It is a transcript of the gene named tropinone reductase-like 3 pseudogene, with no coding region annotated. The record is from RefSeq and is a predicted model, not a curated record. NCBI's taxonomy places the organism in Eukaryota, Viridiplantae, Streptophyta, Magnoliopsida, Fabales, Fabaceae.
UUCAGGUUGGUUUGCAUUAAGAAGUUUAUCUAUUUUGUUGGAGAAGACACCAUAACUUUGCUAUCAGUUUAAUGACAAUUUAUUUUUAUUUUCAGUUGUGUUGACUGUUGAACUAUUAAACUUCUUUAAUUGUCAUAUUUGAAUUCUGUUGUCGUUAAAUUUCAUUAGAUCAAGACUUUGUUAGCUAUUGUGUAUUUCUGUUUGUCAAUUUCAAUGUUAUGACUUUGCAUAAUAGUAUGGUAGAAUUUUUUUUAUUUGAUUGAAAAAACCGAACAAACCGAACCAAACUAAACCGAUAUUAAUUGGUUUGGUUUGGUUCGGAUGACAUUGACAAAAAAACCGAACCAAACCGAACCGCAGUUUAUUUAAACGAUCGGAUCGGAUGGUUUUUCCUUCAAAAACCGAACCAAACCACACCGCGAACACCCCUAGCUGAAAGGCUGGGCUUGGAAGGUGCUUCCGUCGUCAUCUCUUCUCGCAAGCAGCAAAAUGUUGAAGAGGCUGCAGAGAAACUUAGGGCUAAAGGAAUUGAAGUUUUGGCCCUUGUUUGCCAUGUCUCCAACGAUCAACAGAGAAAGGAUUUGAUUCAAAAAACUGCACAGGAGUGCUAAAAUGGUGACCACAUGCUACCUUGAGGGCUCAAGAAUAUUUUGAUUCAUAGAGACACUAAUCUAUGUUAGAACUUUUAACUUUUGGUUGAACUUGUGCAAGA